Non-coding RNA from Ailuropoda melanoleuca (giant panda), 107 nucleotides. The record is from Rfam. NCBI's taxonomy places the organism in Eukaryota, Metazoa, Chordata, Mammalia, Carnivora, Ursidae.
GUCUACAGCCAUACCACUCUGAACAUGCCCAGUCUCAUGUGAUCCUGGAAGCUAAGCAGGGUCGGGCCAGGUUAGUACUUGGAUGGGAAAUAAGUACACAUUAAAAU